UUAACCAUAAAGAUAAACCCACGCGCAUCGUAUCUUCUAUCUCUCUUCCUCCUCUGACGUAAGCGCGUGACAAAACGAGCGAUCGAGAAUGGCGAAUCGCGCUGUGAAAUGUGGUGAGAUGUGAAUGCUGUCGCUGUGUUUAGGUUCCUUGCGUGUUUCUGUGUAUCAAAUAUACGUCAAAUAUUUGAAAACAAAACAAUGAACAAUGGUUUACUGUGCAGUUACCGGUUGUACAAAUAACAAUAACAAAAAAACUAAAAACAAUUCAACUAGCUACCGAUACUGAAGGAAACACCAGUUUCAAGAAUCCAGCUAACGACAAAGACAUUCACAUAUUUGCAGACGCCCCACAUAUGAUUAAACUUUUAAGGAAUCAUUUUCUUGACAGUGGAUAUCUUUUAAACGGAAAAAUUAUCAAUUCCAAACCAGUUGUAGACUUAUUGCAAAAUACUAAAAAUUUGGACUUGAAUAUUGCCCAUAAGCUUAACGCAGAUUUAUUAAUUGUAAAAGGUGCUCAAAGGCAGAAAGUAAAAUAUGCUUCUAAGUUGUUUUCGCAUACAAUUUCAAAAGCGAUGUCUAGAUUGGGUAUGCUGAGCAUUUACAAAACAGAAAAUAACUGGCUUGAGUGCUCUAACUUUUUUAAAAUUGUCAAUGACUGGUUUGACGUUUUUAACUCGCAAAUACCACAUGCAGAUUCACGAAAUCGAGUUAAAGGGUAUGGUCUGGCUUUACAAGAACAAAACGAAAUUUUGGAAAAAAUGAAAAAUAUGGUUAAAGAUAUGAGAAAGAUUGGGUCAAAUACUUUACUACCGUUUCAGAAAGGGAUUAUUAUAAGUAUAGAAUCCUUGCAAAAGCUUUUUUUUGACCUCAAAGAAGAAUUUGGUGUCAAAUAUUUAUUGACGUACCGGCUUAACCAGGACCCACUUGAAGGAUUUUUUUUCUAUUAUGAGAGCAAUUGGUGGUCUGCAUGACCACCCAAAUGCCCUUCAAUUCAAAUAUCAGCUAAGAAAUUAUUUGGUGGGCAGAAAUGAUAAUGUAAUAUCUAAAUCCGCAAAUAUUGAAGAGGAACUUGACAUUGUAACUAACCAACCAACCACUUCUGCAAAUAUUGUAAAUGAGGCCAAGAACUCAGUAAUGCAGCUGGCUCUUACCGGAGAAAUGCUUAGUGCUUUAGAUUUAUCUGAAGACGAUGAAAAUGAGAAGGACAUAUUUGAAAAAAAUAUACUCGAUACAAAGGAAGAGUUAAGGUGGGACGGAUUGGAAAAUUUGGCAGGUUUUAUCGCAUUUAAGUUGAGAAACAAAGAAAAACUUGGUUCUAUCCCCGAUUCCAAUGAGAUUUCUUUUUCCUGGGUCAACCAUUUAACAGAAGGUGGUUUACAGAAACCUAGUGAAGAGUUUUUAUCCAAAUGUAAUGAGCUAGACCAUAUAUUCACCAAAUAUAAUGGAGAAUCUUUGAAAAUUGAAAAAAAUUAUCUUGUAAAUUCAAAUAAAUUAGCGGAAAGUGUCCAGUUAAGCAAUGCAGCAAAAAAUUUAUUUUUUAGGUGCAAAAUGUUUUUUAGAAUAAGAAUUUUGAACAGAAAUAUUGAAGAAAUAUCUAGUAUGAGAAAACGCAAAAUGACCAAAAUUGUAAAUUAAUUAAAUUAAAUUAUAUUCUUAGACUAGACCAUUCACUUGUAAAAUUUACUUUGUGUAAAAUUGAGAUAUUCCCAUUGAUAAAUAAAUAAACAUUUAAAAAAAUAUUGUGUA
Molecule: long non-coding RNA, 1746 nt
Filed under: Leptinotarsa decemlineata (Colorado potato beetle)
Lineage: Eukaryota; Metazoa; Arthropoda; Insecta; Coleoptera; Chrysomelidae
Description: uncharacterized LOC111518040
Source: RNAcentral